Molecule: ribosomal RNA, 422 nt
Filed under: Brevundimonas sp.
Lineage: Bacteria; Pseudomonadati; Pseudomonadota; Alphaproteobacteria; Caulobacterales; Caulobacteraceae
Description: bacterial SSU rRNA
Rfam family: Bacterial small subunit ribosomal RNA
Source: RNAcentral
UGCAGUCGAACGAACUCUUCGGAGUUAGUGGCGGACGGGUGAGUAACACGUGGGAACGUGCCUUUUGGUUCGGAAUAACUCAGGGAAACUUGUGCUAAUACCGAAUGUGCCCUUCGGGGGAAAGAUUUAUCGCCAUUAGAGCGGCCCGCGUCUGAUUAGCUAGUUGGUGAGGUAAAGGCUCACCAAGGCGACGAUCAGUAGCUGGUCUGAGAGGAUGAUCAGCCAAAUUGGGACUGAGACACGGCCCAAACUCCUACGGGAGGCAGCAGUGGGGAAUCUUGCGCAAUGGGCGAAAGCCUGACGCAGCCAUGCCGCGUGAAUGAUGAAGGUCUUAGGAUUGUAAAAUUCUUUCACCGGGGACGAUAAUGACGGUACCCGGAGAAGAAGCCCCGGCUAACUUCGUGCCAGCAGCCGCGGUAAUA